CCCCUCUCAGGGUCACAACUGGAGAGUUUUCAGGACUCUACCAGUCUCGGCUACCAGAGGGAGAGUCGAGCAGCGGCCUACUCAUCCCAUUCCUAACUUGAGCAGUGGCUAGCGAGUGGAAGGCAAUCUGCUACAAGU
This is a small nucleolar RNA of Ornithorhynchus anatinus (platypus), 138 nucleotides long. The record is from RefSeq and is a predicted model, not a curated record. Lineage: Eukaryota; Metazoa; Chordata; Mammalia; Monotremata; Ornithorhynchidae.